RNAcentral lists this ribosomal RNA (496 nucleotides) under uncultured bacterium. RNAcentral's name for it is "partial 16S ribosomal RNA". It matches the Rfam family "Bacterial small subunit ribosomal RNA", at positions 29 to 507 of the family's 1533-position model. The record is from RNAcentral.
AUGAACGCUGGCGGCGUGCCUAAUACCUGCAAGUCGAGCGAACAGACGAGGAGCUUUCUCCUCUGACGUUAGCGGCGGACGGGUGAGUAACACGUGGAUAACCUACCUAUAAGACUGGGAUAACUUCGGGAAACCGGAGCUAAUACCGGAUAAUAUAUUUAACCGCAUGGUUCAAUAGUGAAAGACGGUUUUGCUGUCACUUAUAGAUUGAUCCUCGCCGCAUUAGCUAGUUGGUAAGGUAACGGCUUACCAAGGCGACGAUGCGUAGCCGAACUGAGAGGGUGAUCGGCCACACGGGAAGUGAGACACGGACCAGACUCCUACGGGAGGCAGCAGUAGGGAAUCUUCCGCAAAGGGCGAAAGCCUGACGGAGCAACGCCGCGUGAGUGAUGAAGGUCUUCGGAUCGUAAAACUCUGUUAUUAGGGAAGAACAAAUGUGUAAGUAACUAUGCACGUCUUGACGGUACCGAAUCAGAAAGCCACGGCUAACUACGUG